This 74-nucleotide ribosomal RNA is filed under the name Staphylococcus microti. Its description in RNAcentral is "partial 16S ribosomal RNA". It matches the Rfam family "Bacterial small subunit ribosomal RNA", at positions 1 to 72 of the family's 1533-position model. Lineage: Bacteria; Bacillati; Bacillota; Bacilli; Caryophanales; Staphylococcaceae. The record is from RNAcentral.
CUUUUAUGGAGAGUUUGAUCCUGGCUCAGGAUGAACGCUGGCGGCGUGCCUAAUACAUGCAAGUCGAGCGAACA